GAUGAACGCUGGCGGCGUGCUUAACACAUGCAAGUCGAACGGAAAGGCCACAGCUUGCUGUGGUACUCGAGUGGCGAACGGGUGAGUAACACGUGGGUGAUCUGCCCUGUACUUCGGGAUAAGCUUGGGAAACUGGGUCUAAUACCGGAUAGGAAUCACAUGUGGGUGUGUGGUUGGAAAGCUUUUGCGGUAUGGGAUGAGCUCGCGGCCUAUCAGCUUGUUGGUGGGGUAAUGGCCUACCAAGGCGUCGACGGGUAGCCGGCCUGAGAGGGUGUACGGCCACAUUGGGCUUGGGAAACGCCCCGGCCUCUACCGGGAGCAAGCGGUGGGGAAUUUUGCCCAAUGGGCGAAGGCCGGAUGCAGGGCCGCCGGGUGGGGAUGACGGCCUUCGGGUUGUAAACUCCUUUCGUCAGGGACGAAGCGAAAGUGACGGUACCUGGAUAAGAAGCACCGGCUAACUACGUG
This 465-nucleotide ribosomal RNA is filed under the name uncultured bacterium. RNAcentral's name for it is "partial 16S ribosomal RNA". It matches the Rfam family "Bacterial small subunit ribosomal RNA", at positions 28 to 507 of the family's 1533-position model. The record is from RNAcentral.